Molecule: unclassified non-coding RNA, 216 nt
Filed under: Hevea brasiliensis (rubber tree)
Lineage: Eukaryota; Viridiplantae; Streptophyta; Magnoliopsida; Malpighiales; Euphorbiaceae
Source: RNAcentral
AAAAAUCAUCGACCUAAAGCAGAGAAGGCACUACGAUCAUUGGAUUACUUUCGUGGAAAAGAGCCAAAAUUCCACACAUUUUCAUCUUCUGAUGAGAAUACAAUUGAAGAAGCAUCCUAUUUUUCCAUGAAAAUGAUCAACAGAGGUGGCAAGGCUAAGAAACUAGAACAGUACAUGAAGUUAAAAGCUAAGGAUAUUGAGAGUUCGAACAAAGAA